Lysobacter capsici AZ78 is the source of this 360-nucleotide non-coding RNA. Lineage: Bacteria; Pseudomonadati; Pseudomonadota; Gammaproteobacteria; Lysobacterales; Lysobacteraceae. The record is from Rfam.
GAAGUAGGCCAGGCAGUCGCGUCAUCGGGUCGCAAGAUCCGGUGCCGAGGAAAGUCCGGGCUCCACAGGGCACGGUGCCAGGUAACGCCUGGGCGGCGCGAGCCGACGGAAAGUGCAACAGAGAGCAGACCGCCGAACGGCCCGCGAGGGUGCGUGGUAAGGGUGAAACGGUGCGGUAAGAGCGCACCGCGAGUCUGGCAACAGACCGGCACGGCAAACCCCACCGGGAGCAAAACCAAAUAGGGAGACUAUGUCGCGGCCCGCGAUGUCUCCGGGUAGGUUGCUUGAGCGUAACGGUGACGUUGCGCCUAGAGGAAUGACUGUCCACGACAGAACCCGGCUUAUCGGCCUACUUCGUGC